RNAcentral lists this transfer RNA (85 nucleotides) under Felis catus (domestic cat). It matches the Rfam family "tRNA". From Rfam's summary of the family: Transfer RNA (tRNA) molecules are approximately 80 nucleotides in length. Their secondary structure includes four short double-helical elements and three loops (D, anti-codon, and T loops). Further hydrogen bonds mediate the characteristic L-shaped molecular structure. tRNAs have two regions of fundamental functional importance: the anti-codon, which is responsible for specific mRNA codon recognition, and the 3' end, to which the tRNAs corresponding amino acid is attached (by aminoacyl-tRNA synthetases). tRNAs cope with the degeneracy of the genetic code in two manners: having more than one tRNA (with a specific anti-codon) for a particular amino acid; and 'wobble' base-pairing, i.e. permitting non-standard base-pairing at the 3rd anti-codon position. Lineage: Eukaryota; Metazoa; Chordata; Mammalia; Carnivora; Felidae. RNAcentral also lists the same sequence under 1 other name. The record is from Rfam by way of RNAcentral.
GCCCGGGUGGCUUAGUCGGUUAAGCGUCCGACUUCGGCUCAGGUCAUGAUCUCACAGUUUGUGGGUUCGAGCCCCACAUCAGGCU